AUUUCAAAGAUUGGAGAACUGAAGAAGCU
This 29-nucleotide small RNA is filed under the name Arabidopsis thaliana (thale cress). RNAcentral describes it as "ATSL006900". Lineage: Eukaryota; Viridiplantae; Streptophyta; Magnoliopsida; Brassicales; Brassicaceae. The record is from RNAcentral.